Small nucleolar RNA from Pelodiscus sinensis (Chinese soft-shelled turtle), 83 nucleotides. Ensembl annotates it as small nucleolar RNA SNORD60. The record is from Ensembl. Lineage: Eukaryota; Metazoa; Chordata; Testudines; Trionychidae.
AGCCUGUGAUGAACUUUCAAUUUCUGACACCUCGUAUGAGUAUUGCCUAAGCAGUACUUGAUUACGCUUUAUGGCUGAGGCUA